RNAcentral lists this ribosomal RNA (292 nucleotides) under uncultured Nitrosomonas sp. RNAcentral describes it as "partial 16S ribosomal RNA". It matches the Rfam family "Bacterial small subunit ribosomal RNA", at positions 57 to 352 of the family's 1533-position model. Lineage: Bacteria; Pseudomonadati; Pseudomonadota; Betaproteobacteria; Nitrosomonadales; Nitrosomonadaceae. The record is from RNAcentral.
GCAAGUCGAACGGCAGCGGGGGCUUCGGCCUGCCGGCGAGUGGCGAACGGGUGAGUAAUACAUCGGAACGUGUCCUUGAGUGGGGAAUAACGCAUCGAAAGAUGUGCUAAUACCGCAUAUUUYUCAGGAAGAAGGCAGGGGAUSGAAAGACCUUGCGCUAAAGGAGCGGCCGAUGUSUGAUUAGYUAGUUGGUGAGGUAAAGGCUUMCCAAGGCAACGAUCARUAGCAGGUMUGAGAGGACGAUCAGCCACMCKGGGACUGAGACACGGCCCAGACUCMUACGGGAGGCAGC